This is a long non-coding RNA of Limulus polyphemus (Atlantic horseshoe crab), 119 nucleotides long. RefSeq lists it as uncharacterized. The transcript has 3 exons. NCBI's taxonomy places the organism in Eukaryota, Metazoa, Arthropoda, Merostomata, Xiphosura, Limulidae. The record is from RefSeq and is a predicted model, not a curated record.
AUUUUUUAAAGGGGGGAGGGAGGGGCAAAGUAUUGUGAAAUUGUAAAUUGAAUACAAAGUUCAUAUACACAUGCUGAAUGAAUAGAGAAAUAAUUAUGCUUCUCAUUUUUCAAGGGGUG